GAUUGAAUAGUUCAUGAGGAAAUUGGGAGAAUAGGAGAGAAUUGAUGACAGUUCGCAAUGGAUAAUUGCAUUCUUGGUCUCGAAAUGGAGAACACUCAAAGGAUCAGAGGCUACAGUCUCCAGACGUUUGCGAUUGUUGGGGCUGGACAAUAGACCCAAGCAAAAGUGAAGCUACGUGUCAGUUUUAUUUGGAUGUGGAUGCAACGUUGGUUGGAAAAUGCAGAAGAAUCGGUGUACAGAAUUUCCCAGGUGAUUGAUGACACUGUUUGUUGGUAGCCAAGGU
Athalia rosae (coleseed sawfly) is the source of this 283-nucleotide long non-coding RNA. RefSeq lists it as uncharacterized. The record is from RefSeq and is a predicted model, not a curated record. The transcript has 3 exons. NCBI's taxonomy places the organism in Eukaryota, Metazoa, Arthropoda, Insecta, Hymenoptera, Athaliidae.